GCGGCGCAGACACACAGAGGGCGGAGCCGUAAAUCCUCUAAAACACGCGCACUGAAAAUGUACAUUACCGUCCUGCUCGCAGAGGAAAAUCUGAGUAAUUAUUUCCUGAUAACAUAAAUCCAGCGUGAAGAUCGAUCAGAUAUGAAGAUGUGACUGAAGUGUUGGAUUGUUUCUGCUGCAGCCUCAGUGAGCUCUGUGACAUCAUCGAUAUAAAGAUCAAUGAUCGAGGGCGGUUUGUUUAAUAUGACAGUGAUCAAUAACACUGAAUAUCUGCUCACAGCCACAUGAUUAGAACCCGGCAGGAAGUGUGACAUCACAUCAGGACUCACACAGUUAAACACAUCUUCCUCAACAGGGACAUUUUUGGAUUGUGCAUCAGCGGCGUGUGUGUGCGUGCGUGCACGAACCCACGCGUGUGCGCUCGGGUGCGUGUGCGCGCAGGCGGAGGAUCGGAGCAGAGCCGUACCGUGCAGCAGGCACAAGCCGCUGGGCGCGCAGGAGAAGCCGCAAAAAAAUACAGCAGCCGCUACUUGAAACUGCGAGGAGAGCAGAGGAGCGUCCGAACUUCAGCGUGCACGCCAGUAAACAGUUGAACGUCCAGAAAUAAGAGGAGCACCUCCGCUGCUCGCCCCACCUCUUUGUCUGUGUGGAGGUGUGACACACACACACACACACACACACACACAGCGGCUCUAACCAGAUUAUGUCAUGAUUCAGAUGAAUUAUUGAUCUCUAUUACCGUUUUAUUGCACCGAGAAGAAGAAGAAGAAGAAGAAGAAGAAGAAGGAGAAGAAGGAUGGAUGGAGGAGGAGUGGGGGGGUUUGGGGAGCGCGUGUGGGUUGAUGGGGGGGUGAUGGAGAAUCGUACCUGAACCACACACACACACACAAACACACGCGCGCACACACGCACGCAUCUUCUGUUACUGCUGCAUCGAUGUUGGAUGUUAUUCCUGCAGCGAGUCAAACUUUAUCAGCCAUCCUCCGUCGGUUAAUUGCCCGGUCCUUUGUUUGCCGCGGCACGCAUGCGCACUGGGAGUAGGGUGUGGAUGGGAGAGAUGCCACUUUGUAUAUCAAUAGGAUGGAGAUGGAGGAGAGGAGAGGAGGAGAGGAGGAGAGGAGGACGGCGGUGGUUCGAAUCCUCCGUCCGUUUAGUUAAAACAUGAUGAUAGAAAUAAAAUGCUUUUAGUGGCGGUGUGUGUGUGUGUGUGUGUGUGUGUGUGUGUGUGUGUGUGAUGCUGAAGCAGAAUCAGACCGAUCCUUCACAGUUCAGUUGAUUAUAGUGAUGCUGUAACUAACAGACAGAAGAAUUGUCAAUUUAUUGAUUAGUUGAUGUGAAGAGAAUUCAU
RNAcentral lists this long non-coding RNA (1348 nucleotides) under Sparus aurata (gilthead seabream). RNAcentral describes it as "lncRNA (ENSSAUG00010017252.1)". Lineage: Eukaryota; Metazoa; Chordata; Actinopteri; Spariformes; Sparidae. The record is from RNAcentral.